AGCGAACGCUGGCGGCAGGCCUAACACAUGCAAGUCGAACGAAGUCUUCGGACUUAGUGGCGGACGGGUGAGUAACACGUGGGAACGUGCCUUUAGGUUCGGAAUAACUCAGGAAACUUGUGCUAAUACCGAAUGUGCCCUUCGGGGGACAGAUUUAUCGCCUUUAGAGCGGCCCGCGUCUGAUUAGCUAGUUGGUGAGGUAAAGGCUCACCAAGGCGACGAUCAGUAGCUGGUCUGAGAGGAUGAUCAGCCACAUUGGGACUGAGACACGGCCCAAACUCCUACGGGAGGCAGCAGUGGGGAAUCUUGCGCAAUGGGCGAAAGCCUGACGCAGCCAUGCCGCGUGAAUGAUGAAGGUCUUAGGAUUGUAAAAUUCUUUCACCGGGGACGAUAAUGACGGUACCCGGAGAAGAAGCCCUGGCUAACUUCGUGCCAGCCGCCGCGGUAA
This 448-nucleotide ribosomal RNA is filed under the name uncultured bacterium. Its description in RNAcentral is "partial 16S ribosomal RNA". It matches the Rfam family "Bacterial small subunit ribosomal RNA", at positions 29 to 523 of the family's 1533-position model. The record is from RNAcentral.